CAGUCGCCGCGGGAAUACGAAGGGUGCAAGCGUUACUCGGGAUUACUGGGCGUAAAGCGUGCGUAGGUGGUGGUUUAAGUCCGUUGUGAAAGCCCUGGGCUCAACCUGGGAAUUGCAGUGGAUACUGGGUCACUAGAGUGUGGUAGAGGAUAGUGGAAUUUCCGGUGUAGCAGUGAAAUGCGUAGAGAUCGGAAGGAACAUCUGUGGCGAAGGCGACUAUCUGGGCCAACACUGACACUGAGGCACGAAAGCGUGGGGAGCAAACAGGAUUAGAUACCCCAGUAGUCCCUGUCUCUUAUAC
Molecule: ribosomal RNA, 301 nt
Filed under: uncultured bacterium
Lineage: Bacteria
Description: partial 16S ribosomal RNA
Rfam family: Bacterial small subunit ribosomal RNA
Source: RNAcentral